This 308-nucleotide long non-coding RNA is filed under the name Mytilus galloprovincialis (Mediterranean mussel). Lineage: Eukaryota; Metazoa; Mollusca; Bivalvia; Mytilida; Mytilidae. The record is from RNAcentral.
AAAUAAUGAAUCUACAGUAUAAGAAAUCCUAUUUUAAAAGAGAAUUAGAUAGCACCAUUGGACUCUGAUGCUAUCAAGCCUAGGAGACUACUGGAUUAUCCAUUCCUUACAUCAUUAGUUAUAACACCACUUUUUUAACUUGCAAAGUAUGUGUACUACAUGGUACAUUGUAUGUGGGGACUUUAUAUAUGGUAAUCAUUUGCCAAUUUUUCCAAUGAUAAUUAUUUUUCUACGACAGUAUCCCAUUUAGUGGCCAGUAUAAAUGUGAAAAUUUAUUCAUAUUUUAUUACUUUCUAGUAGUUCUAGAC